RNAcentral lists this ribosomal RNA (520 nucleotides) under uncultured Glomus. Its description in RNAcentral is "SSU rRNA". It matches the Rfam family "Eukaryotic small subunit ribosomal RNA", at positions 569 to 1093 of the family's 1831-position model. Lineage: Eukaryota; Fungi; Glomeromycota; Glomeromycetes; Glomerales; Glomeraceae. The record is from RNAcentral.
AGCAGCCGCGGUAAUUCCAGCUCCAAUAGCGUAUAUUAAAGUUGCUGCAGUUAAAAAGCUCGUAGUUGAAUUUCGGGAUUAGUACGUUGGUCGUGCCUUGGUACGUACUGGUGUAACUGAUUCCCCCCUUCUGACGAACCGUCAUGCCAUUAAUUUGGUGUGGCGGGAAAUCAGGACUGUUACUUUGAAAAAAUUAGAGUGUUUAAAGCAGGCUCGCGCUUGAAUACAUUAGCAUGGAAUAAUGAAAUAGGACGUUAAUCCUAUUUUGUUGGUUUCUAGGAUCGACGUAAUGAUUAAUAGGGAUAGUUGGGGGCAUUAGUAUUCAAUUGUCAGAGGUGAAAUUCUUGGAUUUAUUGAAGACUAACUACUGCGAAAGCAUUUGCCAAGGAUGUUUUCAUUAAUCAAGAACGAAAGUUAGGGGAUCGAAAGACGAUCAGAUACCGUCGUAGUCUUAACCAUAAACUAUGCCGACUAGGGAUCGGAUGAUGUAAUUUUUAAUGACUCAUUCGGCGCCUUACGG